AAAACUUAUAAUUAUUUACCCUUAAAAAAAAGAACAAAAACAAUUUAAGGGCAUUUAAUCCUAAUCAUUUUGAUUCAACAAGCAUUUUUGUAAAUUAAAUUAACAAAUAUAAGUUAAAAACCUCAAUGAGCAAAUCAAUAUUCAGUGAGCAAAUAAAUCCAACCCCAAAAAAAAAAAAAUGUGGCCAUCCUAGACAGUAAGUCUCCUUUUAUGAGAAGCCUCCUCAUUUUGCCGUGUGGUCUCAGAAACAUCUUCAUUUUCAGCUUUUACCGCAGUUCCAUCUUCUUUGCUCAAAAUUGUGUUCUUAGUGUGGCUUUUUGAAGCAGAUUUUGAUACCCAUAAUGUACUUUUUAAUCUAUGAAUCAGUCCCAUUCCAAUACCGAUAUUUUUCUUACUUCUGGGACUGUCCUCGUGUGAAGACCCUCCUGUUUUUGCACCUCUAACACCUAGUCUGAAACCAGCAAAAGAAGUUGAUCCUCUUUCGCCUCUUUCUAUCUUAGCAUCCCUCGAACCAUAAUGAAAACUCGCAGACCUAGAUGAACCCAUCACACUCCUUUCUUCCCUUUCUAGCUUCCGUCUCCUCAACCCCAGAAUGCUUCUUUCCUUCUCUGACCCAACCAAAAGCUUCUUCUCCAUCAGACUUGUUUCCUUCUCAGAUUUCUGCAAAAGCUUCUUCAUCCCAGCCAACUCUUUCUCCAAGCCUUCAAUACGUGAGUUCGUGGCGUCCAUUUCCUCUUUGAGUUGAGCUGCUUCUCGUACAGCUGCAUCCCGUUGAAGGAUUGAGCCAAGGGUGAUGACCUCAUUCUCCUCGUGAUGUUGGGGUGCACAGUGGUUGGUGGCAGCUGCAGUGCAGGUGAAGAUUGCACGGCGGGUAUUUAGCUGUUCAAUCAACAUGGCUCGGACAAUGAAUCGUAAUGGGAGUCUAGGAUUCUGCACUGCAUGAAUGAGAAGCUGAGGAGAGAGCUUUUCACAGUCAAUGAAAUUGCAUAUCUCCAUCUUCUGCUCUUCUGUUAUCUUCCCACUAUGUUCCUGUGCUCAAAAUCAAACCCAUCAAAAUGAAGCAAGAGAAUAGAUAGAAAUCUACAGAUCAAUACUUGCAAAUAGCAAGUUACCUGGAUGUAAAGAUCGACAAUCCUGUACAGCACGUCGUGGCAAGUAAACCUGAAAUGCAUCGUCUCUGCUACGAUUUCAAACUCGUCAGCGGCCAAAUCUAUAAUAUCGUCGAUAACUCUGUCCAUCUCGCUUCCAUCAUCGCUCAAAGCUUCCACGC
This 1270-nucleotide unclassified non-coding RNA is filed under the name Hevea brasiliensis (rubber tree). Lineage: Eukaryota; Viridiplantae; Streptophyta; Magnoliopsida; Malpighiales; Euphorbiaceae. The record is from RNAcentral.